AUGAUUUUUUCAAUUUUUUACUAUUUUAUUGCGUCAUAUAUAGAUCAACUUAUUUUUCAUGAUAAGCACCUUCCCUCGUUAAAAAAUUGGAAAGUAUUCGUGAUUUCCAGUAAAAAGAGUGGUCGAUCAUGCAAAUAUAUGGAAAAAUAGUGGUAAUAAUGAUUUUUUCAAUUUUUUACUAUUUUAUUGCGUCAUAUUUAGAACAACUUAUUUUUCACGAUAAGCACCUUCCCUCGUUAACAAAUUGGAAAGUACUUGUGAUUUUCGGUAAAAAAAGGGGUUGAUCAUGAAAAUGCGUGGAAAAAUAGCACCUUCCCACGUUAACAAAUUGGAAAGUACUCGUGAUUUUCGGUAAAAAAAGGGGUUGAUCGUGAAAAUGCAUGGAAAAAUAGUGGAAUCAUCGGUUCCUAUUGAUUUCUACAGUUAUAUCGCGUCAGCUGCAUAACGCAUUACGUUUUGUCAUGUGCUACGUGUUUCGCUAGAAAAUUUUGGAGUACUGGAGAUUACCAACAAAAAUAAAUGUUAACAGGCACAAUAUAUUGUCGGACUACAUCGUGAACAAUGGAAUAUUACAGUUGGAAUAUUAAACCUUAUAUUGAUGGGGAAAUUAUUACCAAAAAAUGAUGAAGUAUAAAAGUUGAAUAGAUACAUUGUAGAUACUUUCCAGCGUAGAAUGAAAUACUAGGACAAAUGACAAAAACGUACUCUGUAAAGAGAUGCAAUUACUUUCUUGCAUGAUACAUCUGGA
Long non-coding RNA from Osmia bicornis bicornis, 748 nucleotides. RefSeq lists it as uncharacterized. The record is from RefSeq and is a predicted model, not a curated record. Lineage: Eukaryota; Metazoa; Arthropoda; Insecta; Hymenoptera; Megachilidae. The transcript has 4 exons.